Molecule: unclassified non-coding RNA, 205 nt
Filed under: uncultured fungus
Lineage: Eukaryota; Fungi
Description: sequence contains ITS1, 5.8S rRNA gene
Source: RNAcentral
CCGAGUUAGGGUGCCUAACCCGCGCCCGACCUCCAACCCUUUGUCUACCUGACCUUAUGUUGCUUCGGCAGGCCCGCCUGCCUGGACCUCGCGUCCGGGCGGGCCGCCGGGGGUCUCGCGACCCCGGGCCCGCGCCUGUCGAUGGCCCUUACCAAAACUAUUUGUUAAAACGUGUCGUCUGAGUUAUCUAAACAAAUGAAAUUUA